This 580-nucleotide long non-coding RNA is filed under the name Monodelphis domestica (gray short-tailed opossum). Its description in RNAcentral is "lncRNA (ENSMODG00000033025.2)". Lineage: Eukaryota; Metazoa; Chordata; Mammalia; Didelphimorphia; Didelphidae. The record is from RNAcentral.
GGGUGCUUUCAUCCCCGCCCCCUUCAACUGCGCCGUAAUCCACGAGCCUGAACUCUUGGUGUUCAGAAAGAGAAGUGGGCUAGGGGAGGAGAAAGUGGAAGAGGCCGGCAACAGUCUGCCAGUUCUUGUGCCUCACUAACUUCCUCGGGCUAGAAAAGGACCCGCCGAAAGGGUUAUCAGAUGAAGAAAUCAAAAGUAUCAGUCACAUGAAAAAGUAUUCUAAAUCCCGCCUGAUUAGAGAAAUGCAAAUCAAAACAACUCUGAGAUACCACCUCAGAUCUAGCAGCUUGGCCAACAUGACAGUAAAGGUCCUUUCAGCAUCUUAUUCUGGAAAUAGACAUCAAUUCAAUAUUCCUGUUGCUUCUGAAAAGGGAAUGACAGUUGGCCAUUCACCAUCUAUAUGAGUCCCAGACAAGAAUGCUUUUAUUUUUUCUAGAUACUACUCUUUUUUCUAUGUUGUCUUUCACUUUUAGAAUGCAAGUUCCUUGAGGGCAGGAAUUGUCUUACUUUUUAAAUUUUGUGACCAGUGCCUGGCAUGAAGUACAUGCUUAAUAAAUGCUUCUUUUUCAUUUAUUCGACA